GCCACCGCCGCGUAUCCGCGGUAAUUUCUAGUUUCUGUCUGUUUCGACAGGUGUCGCUGAUGUCGUUAACUUUAUUUACUUUUCAGUUGAUUCCCCAUAACAUGAAGAAAGCAGGCAUGGACAGCACUUUUUGAUGACGUACGUGGAGUACAAAAAUCGUGGCUCCUCCAAUCGCAUAAGACUAUUAUGCUUAUGACGUAUAAAAUGCACGCUUUUGGCAGCCAAUCAGUGUGUUCUUUUGACUCCUGUCCACACCGGUUCUCCUUUCACUAAGUUUAUUUUUAGUGUACUUCUCCAGCCAAAACUGCGCUCCUUGUGCUGUUACAUUCUUUCCAAUAUUUCUACAAUAUUUGAAACUGUGAUAAAAAAUUCAAAACCCUACCCAGGCUCUUUAUUUGAAUUUUGUGAGAAUUUUACGUUUAGUAGCGCGGAAGACAAGAAACCCAUUCUAUCACAUCUUCAACGGUUUUCGUAUUGGUUAGCUAAUAUUUCAAAUUUUUCUGAAUCCCAGUUAAAAUUUCAACUGACUGUUUGUUUACUAUCCACUACGUUAUGGUUAAUUGAAUUUUUAAAAUUUGUCCUAAGCAUCCUGUAAAUUUGCUGCUACAGCUUUAUACUCUGUGCUUGCGCAACAUGUCGAUUAACUCAAGAACUAUCUUAUGAUGACCAAUGCAGCUUAGAUGAAGAGAUGGAUUCAAAUGACAGAAAACUUCAGGGUCAAAAGGAUGAUGCCGCAUCAAAUUUCAUGGUUUCAGCGGCAGAAGGAGAUGCCAGUCAUUCUGCUUCAUUAUGCCCUCGACAACAUUCCUGUGAUUCGUACGACAGAGAUCUGGAAAAUGGCAGUAUUUUGGAUGCAUCUGCCGGUGAGAUAUGUUUCUCUCCAAACUCAGAAAAGCAAGGUGGUGACUACCAUACUAAGUUUUCCAAAUUUGAAGAAGCUCUAGAAAAUCCCCACUUUGACAAAGCUGUAGCUGCAUCUAUGUUGAAAACUUUCCGCUCCUAUUUGGAUGCACAAGAAACAAAAGAUAAACAACAGCGUGAAAAAAUAAGGAAACUGGAAAAACAACUUCGAUCAACAAGCGAGUUCAUUCAAAAGCAAUGUGAUGGGGGUUUGUCAAGCGGAGAUGCCAAGAAAGAAGUGGACAGUCUCCGAUCAAACUUAGUUAGUAGAGACGCAGAGUUGUUACGAAUAGAAAAUGAACUGGAGAAACAAACGCUAGAAUUUGAUAGGUACAAAUCAGAGACCUCUAAACAGAUUUUCAGUUUGAUGCGUAAAAAUGAAACCUUACAUCAAGAACUUAAUGCAAGGAAGUAUUGCUUAAAACCUGAAUCAGUCACCUCCGAGAAAAAUUCUGAUCUCCUCGAACAGUUCCAUAAUAAUAGUAAUAGGUGUAACCAAGAAAACGAGUUCCUAUCCACCCCAAGCAGUAACAAAUCAGUGUCAAACUCUGCAAAUUCAAAUAGCACCUGCGGAAACUGCUCCUUUUUAGAGAGCCAGCAAGAAGACUUACUGGCUGGGCGCCUAGCGUUUGAAGCCACUCUGAAAGCUGUGAAGGAAAUCCUAGAAAACAUUGCAUUCAAUCGCCAUCCAGCCGUCAACUCAAACGAUGAUGGAAAGUCAAAUAUCUGCACGGAGCUCAAAUCGCCAAAAAAAAAAUCAGUUGAGUCACAAACUAUCUCAUAUAAUGAACUGUGCCAACAAUACCUCGAUCACAUAAAUACUCUGAAAGAAAAUAUCUGCACGAGAGUUAAACAGCACGAGUCGACUAUUGCUGAGCUACAAGACGACAUGGAGAAGCAAUCUCGAACAGUCACCAGUUUGCAGAACCAGAAAAGAGCACUAAUCAAGGAAGUGGAGUCGUUGAAGCACAGACUGCAAGAAACGGAAGAGGGGGCAGCUAGGUUAAGCCAGAAGUGGCAAGAGGAUUUGAAAAACGCGGAAAACACACACAAAUCUGCUUUGAAAGUGCUCCAGUCCAAAGUGCAAGAACUCAGCUUAAACUUGGAGACAGAGCGCAAAAAUCAUAGCAACAGUAUUGCAAAAUUCGAAGCUACAGUAGAGCAGCAGGCAUCGAACCAAGAAAACAUGCUAGCAACAGUGUAUCAGAGUCGAUUACAAGAGAUCCAACUUUCUUACAACAAUGAUAUCAAAUCUUACAGUAACCGAAUUAGUGAACUAGAAGGACAGCUUCGGUCUGCUUCUGCAGAACGGUGUGAUUUAAACCAACAGCUUCAAAGUUGUCAAAGUGAAUUGCAGAACGCUCGGCUUGACAACGAUCAGUCAUGCAAGGAAAUCCAGGAACUGGUGAAAGUCAGUGAUAAUCUGCGGUUGCAGCUUGAGGAUAUGAGAAGCUCCAAAGAAAUAAUGGAGAAAGAGCUCGAAGCUUUACGCUGCAAAGUAACCCUUGCCAACAAGAAAGUUGAUGAGGUGUCUCAGCAGGAAAAAAACUUGUGGAAAGUUUUUAUAGAACGGUCACAAGCUAUCAUGGCAAAAGAUCCCGAGACCUGGAUGGAAAAAAUGCGAGACUUGAGUAUCGAGUCAACAAGUGAGUUUAAUAACCCCACUUGUGAUUCUUAUUUGACGAAUGCAGACUCUUUGAAAAACUUUCAUGAUGUAAUUAGUGAAGCCUCAAAUUCCAAAGAGGACUCGGGAAUUCUCGGCAGUAAUGCCAGCACCACCAUUUUGAUCGGUAAAGUGCGCAACGAGCUCGACGAAUCAAGUUUCCUCAACAAGAACAUUACAGAUGAGCUAAUUUUGUUGAGAGGUGAAAGAGUAGACUUGUUCAAUAGAAAUGAUCAGCUCACGUCUGAAAAUAACACACUGAAGUCAGCUCUAGAAGAUAAAGUUAAGAAAGAAAAUUUGUUGCGUGAAACAAACCGAUGUCUAGAAGAGCAAAUUGUCGAGUAUGAAAGGAGGCUUAGUCACUUGAAAAAAUUGUAUGAAGAAAAACGAGAAUACCAUCUAGCAGAAGGAGAAUGUGGCAGUCAUGAACAUCAAAGAAAAUCGUUGAGCACUGAAGAAAAGCGCAAUUAACUACUUUAGAGAGUAACACAUCACUCGAAUGGGGCAAUCAAGAAUACGAUCAUCUUUCCAAAGUAAAGUGUGAUUGUGGGGAAGUGAUAGAAUCUUUGAAACAGAAAAUAGUGGACCUUGAGCGAAAACUUGCCGAGAGUAUUUCUGCCGAGUCGGUGCACGAGUCUGUUGAACAACUCAUAGUUGAGAAAGAAUCUCUCCUUCAGAAAGAUUUUGAGCGACUUCAGCAAAACCGACUUCAGCUAGAGAAAGAAGAGACCCUGAGAGCAGAAAAUCAGGUGCUGAAGAGCUCUAUCCAAGAAGUAAAUCUCAAGAACCAAGAACUUGAAACUGAAA
RNAcentral lists this long non-coding RNA (3370 nucleotides) under Bemisia tabaci. RNAcentral describes it as "lncRNA ENSSSA1NGG004503". Lineage: Eukaryota; Metazoa; Arthropoda; Insecta; Hemiptera; Aleyrodidae. The record is from RNAcentral.